CUUCUAACUGCCUUGAAUGUGGGUUCACCUGCGCCAUGCCUUUGUCCAUGCACCGCCAAUCAAUUCAUUCUCACACCAUUUUUUCAUUUUGCUGCCUUGCACCGGAUUCCAUGAAAUGCAUCCUCCCAAGCACAUUUCAGUCAUGGCAACAACAUGGGAGCAAGGCAUUGCCCAUGCCUUAGCCGUUUCAGCAAGUUACAACCAUCAAGGGGUUAAUAACCACCCCCAACAAACGAGUCCAGUGCCUCGUUGGAUUAACAUUCAAAUGCUUUUCAUUUUGUUAAAUAGGCCCAUCUCUUUCCGUCGUAGCAUCAUCCUCGCUACUGCCUUUUAUAUGAAUACCAUUCAGCAGUAAAGAUGUGAAAUCCAUCACAUAAUCCCGAACAGAACCUGUCUGUUUCAGAGUUUGGAGUGCUUCCCUUACAAUAAGGAACUCAUCCUUCAAUUCCUUCGACGGCGCUUCCCAUGCAGUAAUCCAAGGUCAACCACACUUUCAUUGUCCCACAACUGAUGAAUGAUGUAUUAAUUCAUUGAGCUCAUUUCUAAAUGAAGUUGAUACAUUUUAACAUACUUCAAAUGCAGUUGAAAGGGUUCGAUUAUGAAAGUGGUUGGCUCUUUUCUGGAUGGAAAAUCAAGAUUCGUAUUUGCUAGAGAUAUUAAUUUACUGCCUCCAUUCUCAGCACUGAUUACCACAAAGUAAUCAUGGUGUGCUUACAGUCUGAUCCCAUCCUCAACGAAAUCACCAGCAUGUUUGGUGGACUCAGAAAAUGGCUCAGUUACAUUUUGCACUCUUUGAAUAAGUCAAAGGUAAGAUGAAGUCUGUCGAAAAGAUUUGGCAAAAUAACCAUUUGCACUGCAGUCUGUCCAAAAGAUAUCCCUAGAUUUCAAGCUAGCUAUGAUAAGGCCAGAGACUCAAGUCAAAAAUUCUUUCCAAGGCAUCUUAGACAAAUAAUUCGACUAGAUUCCCUCGGGUAGUUUUGUUUCAAUUUACUAUAGAGUUGUAUGGUGUUCUACAUUUUUACAAAGGUUUCUGCAAUUGUUCAUACAUAGAGUUGGCCGAAAAGAUUUUUUCGGCAUUAAGUAGAAAGUUAAAGAAAUACAUCUUCCCUAGAUUCAUAGCAUCGAAUAAUAUGAUGAAUAAGAUUUAAAAUUUGAUAGGCAUAUUUGGCAGAUAACAUUGAAUAAUAUCAGGAAUAAGAUUUUAAUUCUUUAUUUUCUUUUAAUUUUU
RNAcentral lists this long non-coding RNA (1228 nucleotides) under Olea europaea subsp. europaea. The record is from RNAcentral. Lineage: Eukaryota; Viridiplantae; Streptophyta; Magnoliopsida; Lamiales; Oleaceae.